AUACUUACCUGGUAGGGAGAUACCAUGAUCACGAAGGUGGUUUUCCAGGGCGAGGCUUUAUCCAUUGCACCUGGAUGUAAAGCGACCUCUUGGCAGAUUUCUAAACCGUGGAAAACCCCUGACUGCAUAAUUUGUGGUAGUGGGGACUGCGUCUGGCGCUUUCCCCU
Molecule: small nuclear RNA, 167 nt
Filed under: Papio anubis (olive baboon)
Lineage: Eukaryota; Metazoa; Chordata; Mammalia; Primates; Cercopithecidae
Description: U1 spliceosomal RNA (ENSPANG00000041702.1)
Rfam family: U1 spliceosomal RNA
About the family: U1 is a small nuclear RNA (snRNA) component of the spliceosome (involved in pre-mRNA splicing). Its 5' end forms complementary base pairs with the 5' splice junction, thus defining the 5' donor site of an intron.
Source: RNAcentral